Molecule: unclassified non-coding RNA, 695 nt
Filed under: Neanotis trichoclada
Lineage: Eukaryota; Viridiplantae; Streptophyta; Magnoliopsida; Gentianales; Rubiaceae
Description: sequence contains ITS1, 5.8S rRNA gene, ITS2
Rfam family: 5.8S ribosomal RNA (bases 318-473)
Source: RNAcentral
GUGUUCGGAUUGCGGCGACGUGAGCGGUUCGCCGCCCGCGACGUCGCAAGAAGUCCACUGAACCUUAUCAUUUAGAGGAAGGAGAAGUCGUAACAAGGUUUCCGUAGGUGAACCUGCGGAAGGAUCAUUGUCGAAUCCUGCAAGCAACCGCGAACACGUUAUCAAAACGCACGGGGCGCGGGCGGACUUCUGUCUGCCGGCCCCGGACAAAACAAAACUUCCGGCGCGAAAAGCGCCAAGGACUACUAAAAUGGAUUGCUUGCGUCCUCCGGCGGCUUCCGCCGGACGGUCGCGCGCGUCAGAAUCGUAACCAACACGACUCUCGGCAACGGAUAUCUAGGCUCUCGCAUCGAUGAAGAACGUAGCGAAAUGCGAUACUUGGUGUGAAUUGCAGAAUCCCGUGAACCAUCGAGUUUUUGAACGCAAGUUGCGCCCGAAGCCAUCAGGCCGAGGGCACGUCUGCCUGGGCGUCACGCACCGUCGCCACCCUCCCCAAAGCGCCCGCGCUGGGGGACGGGUGACGGAUGUUGGCCUCCCGUGAACCUUGCGUCGCGGCCGGCCUAAAUCGUAGUCCUCCCCUCGGGACGUCACGGCAAGUGGUGGUCAGAAUCAUUUCUUACCUCGAUCCAAACCGUGGCCCAUACCGUUGCGGAGUGCUAUUAGACCUUGAGCCCUCGGGCUAUCGACCAUGACCC